CCAUUUUUAUAAGAAAUCUUCAGUGAUGGUAGUAGUGCUAUGAUAAUGAUACGGCAUGAACUUCACACUUUCCUGUAAGUAAACUACAUAAACAACCCCAAUCUUAGUUGGUUGGACUUGGGCAUCUACCGCAUCCCUCCGUCACCAACCUUAUCAUCCCUGUCCUAUUUGUUACAGCACUUUUGUCCACUUGUUCCUCUCCAGAUUUUUUUUUUAAUCUAUAAAUUAAACAAAAAACACAAAAAAUCCCAAAAAUUGAUAAAAGCAAGUCGAAAAUGGGCAUAGCAGGUGAUGGGCAUGAGUUAGCUAUGAUUGUUGAAUUUACCAAUACACUACCUCAGAUAUGGUGGCGAUGCUGACUUAGCAUUGGGAACCGGAAUUUUCGGAUUUUCUCUCUUUUUUUUUUUUGUGUAUAUAUGGCUAAGGCUUCUUUGAUUCCCGCUUAUUCUGCUUGUUCUACGAGACUUGGUAAUACUGGCAGAAAUGGAGCCUCCGACCAUGGACCUUUAGCUUCUUCGACGUUCGUUUCCUGUUCCUGUUUUUCUUCUUCCUCCAAUUUCAAUUUCUCUUCUGGGAUCAAUAACUGGAAACAUCAAGGCUUUAAAGCCCAAGCUAUGAGUACUACCACUCAGGAAAAUUUUGCAUCAUCCAGGGGAAUUGUGAAUGGAAGAAAUGAUCCUGACCAUCUUCUUGUUCUUGUUCACGGCAUCUUGGCUAGCCCAAGUGAUUGGACAUAUGUGGAAGCUGAGUUAAAAAGGCGUCUUGGAAGAAACUUUUUAAUAUAUGCAAGUUCAUCUAACACUUACACCAAAACCUUCACUGGGGUUGAUGGAGCUGGAAAGCGAUUAGCAGAUGAAGUUAUGCAAGUUGUGAAAAAGACAGACAGCCUUAAAAAGAUCUCCUUUUUAGCCCAUUCUCUUGGAGGAUUGUUUGCAAGAUAUGCGGUUGCUGUCCUUUACUCACCAACUCCCUCAGGAAGUGGUGAACCUGUUGAUUUGGCUGAUUCUAAGAUGGCAAACUCUCAAACAUUGUUCUUUCCUAGACGAGGUACAAUUGCAGGACUUGAGCCAGUCAACUUCAUUACCUUGGCAACUCCACAUCUUGGGGUGAGAGGGAGAAAGCAGCUUCCAUUUCUCUUUGGAGUUCCCAUUUUGGAGAAACUUGCUGCUCCUCUAGCUCCAAUUUUUGUUGGCCGGACUGGUCGUCAACUGUUUCUGACAGAUGGUAAACCCAACAAACCACCCCUGCUUUUGAGAAUGGCAUCUGAUUGUGAAGAUAUAAAUUUUUUAUCUGCCCUUGGUGCUUUCAGGGUUCGCAUUCUUUAUGCAAAUGUGUCUUAUGAUCAUAUGGUUGGUUGGCGCACAUCCUCAAUAAGGAGGGAGACCGAACUUGUGAAGGAUACUUUCCAUGGUGGGAGCAGCAAGAGUUUGCCAUGGGAGAUAAUGAAGUUUGAGCCAUGGAUAAAUUUUACAGGCCUCCUCGUCGAUCUUUGGAUGGUUACAAGCAUGUUGUGGAUGUGGAAUAUUGUCCACCAGUUCCCUCUGAUGGGCCACAUUUUACUGAAGAAGCAGUCAAGGCAAAGGAGGCAGCACAAAAGGAACCCAGUAUGCAACAUACUGUGGAAUAUCAUGAAAUUGUGGAAGAGGAGAUGAUACGUGGUUUACAACAAUUAGGAUGGAAAAAGGUCGAUGUCAGCUUUCAUUCGGCGUUCUGGCCCUUCUUUGCUCAUAACAAUAUACAUGUGAAAAAUGAAUGGCUUCACAAUGCUGGUACCGGAGUGGUUGCCCAUGUUGCAGACAGCAUAAAACAACAGGAGUCAUCCUCCUUCAUUGCCGCUAGCUUGUAGAUAUCGCAUACAUUUAAAGUACUUACAGCUAAAACGUGUAUGAUAAAUUGUAGCAGAAAUGAUGAAAUGAAAAAAAAGAAAAGAAAAUCCUAUAGUAAUCGCUGAUAGAAAGUUGUUUCAUUUUCAGCUAGCUCAGAAGAUAAUAGAAUUACAGUUUGAAAGCAUAAUAAAGCUGAGUCAAUUUUGUCUGGCUUAA
This is an RNA transcript of Mangifera indica (mango), 2042 nucleotides long. RefSeq lists it as uncharacterized. The transcript is spliced from 12 exons. NCBI's taxonomy places the organism in Eukaryota, Viridiplantae, Streptophyta, Magnoliopsida, Sapindales, Anacardiaceae. The record is from RefSeq and is a predicted model, not a curated record.